GACGAACGCUGGCGGCGUGCUUAACACAUGCAAGUCGAACGGAAAGGCCCUGCUUUUGUGGGGUGCUCGAGUGGCGAACGGGUGAGUAACACGUGAGUAACCUGCCCUUGACUUUGGGAUAACUUCAGGAAACUGGGGCUAAUACCGGAUAGGAGCUCCUGCUGCAUGGUGGGGGUUGGAAAGUUUCGGCGGUUGGGGAUGGACUCGCGGCUUAUCAGCUUGUUGGUGGGGUAGUGGCUUACCAAGGCUUUGACGGGUAGCCGGCCUGAGAGGGUGACCGGCCAAAUGGGGACAGAGAUAGGGCCCAGCCUCCUGGGGGGGGCAGCGGGGGGGAGUAGUACACAGGGGGGGGAAGCCUGACGCCGCAGCGCCGCGGGGGGGAUGACGGCCUGCGGGUUGUAAACCGCUUGCGCCUGUGACGAAGGGGGAGGGAGGUGAAUGGAUAAAAAAGCACCGGCAAACUACGCG
This 468-nucleotide ribosomal RNA is filed under the name uncultured bacterium. RNAcentral describes it as "partial 16S ribosomal RNA". It matches the Rfam family "Bacterial small subunit ribosomal RNA", at positions 28 to 507 of the family's 1533-position model. The record is from RNAcentral.